UUUGGAGGGCAAGUCUGGUGCCAGCAGCCGCGGUAAUUCCAGCUCCAAUAGCGUAUAUUAAAGUUGUUGCAGUUAAAAAGCUCGUAGUUGAAUUUCGGGAUCAUCAGGUUGGUCGUGCCACUGGUAUGUACUUGCCUCGGUGGUCCCUCCCUCUUGAAGAACCGUAAUGCCAUUAAUUUGGUGUUGCGGGGAAUCAGGACUGUUACUUUGAAAAAAUUAGAGUGUUUAAAGCAGGCAAACGCUUGAAUGCAUUAGCAUGGAAUAAUGAAAUAGGACGUUUGAUCUUAUUUUGUUGGUUUCUAGGAUCGACGUAAUGAUUAAUAGGGAUAGUUGGGGGCAUUAGUAUUCAAUUGUCAGAGGUGAAAUUCUUGGAUUUAUUGAAGACUGACUACUGCGAAAGCAUUUGCCAAGGAUGUUUUCAUUAAUCAAGAACGAAAGUUAGGGGAUCGAAGACGAUCAGAUACCGUCGUAGUCUUAACCAUAAACUAUGCCGACUAGGGAUCGGACGAUGUUAACUUUUCUUGACUCGUUCGGCGCCUUACGGGAAAC
Molecule: ribosomal RNA, 549 nt
Filed under: uncultured Glomus
Lineage: Eukaryota; Fungi; Glomeromycota; Glomeromycetes; Glomerales; Glomeraceae
Description: SSU rRNA
Rfam family: Eukaryotic small subunit ribosomal RNA
Source: RNAcentral